This 509-nucleotide ribosomal RNA is filed under the name Colletotrichum cf. gloeosporioides ROG-2010. RNAcentral's name for it is "eukaryotic LSU rRNA". The stretch from base 182 to 335 matches the Rfam family "5.8S ribosomal RNA". The record is from RNAcentral. Lineage: Eukaryota; Fungi; Ascomycota; Sordariomycetes; Glomerellales; Glomerellaceae.
GGAUCAUUACUGAGUUUACGCUCUAUAACCCUUUGUGAACAUACCUAUAACUGUUGCUUCGGCGGGUAGGGUCUCCGCGACCCUCCCGGCCUCCCGCCUCCGGGCGGGUCGGCGCCCGCCGGAGGAUAACCAAACUCUGAUUUAACGACGUUUCUUCUGAGUGGUACAAGCAAAUAAUCAAAACUUUUAACAACGGAUCUCUUGGUUCUGGCAUCGAUGAAGAACGCAGCGAAAUGCGAUAAGUAAUGUGAAUUGCAGAAUUCAGUGAAUCAUCGAAUCUUUGAACGCACAUUGCGCCCGCCAGCAUUCUGGCGGGCAUGCCUGUUCGAGCGUCAUUUCAACCCUCAAGCUCUGCUUGGUGUUGGGGCCCUACAGCUGAUGUAGGCCCUCAAAGGUAGUGGCGGACCCUCCCGGAGCCUCCUUUGCGUAGUAACUUUACGUCUCGCACUGGGAUCCGGAGGGACUCUUGCCGUAAAACCCCCCAAUUUUCCAAAGGUUGACCUCGGAUC